RNAcentral lists this small RNA (783 nucleotides) under Pan troglodytes (chimpanzee). RNAcentral's name for it is "processed transcript". Lineage: Eukaryota; Metazoa; Chordata; Mammalia; Primates; Hominidae. The record is from RNAcentral.
AGUGGGAAAGGACAGUAAAUAUUUGAAACAGUUUAUAUAGUCUCACACAGGGCCGGUCAUUUCUAUGUCCUUAUAUUGUGCUGUGGUUAGAAACCGAAGAGCAAGAGAUGAGGUCACUGGCAGCUGCUCAGGGCCUUAUGGGGACAACUCCUUAGUAGAUCCCUUUACCCUGGGCUCCUUGGCUCUGUAGCUCCAGCAACCUCAUUUAUUUGGUCACUCCACUGGCCUAGGUGGGGAGUAUUAACACGAAGGUCAUGCAUGUGAUUCAGGACACCACCUUCUAGGCAGCCAAACACUUGGCCAUCUCAGGUGAUACCCAGAGGUUGCUUGAUGAGCAAGGACCAGCUCAGAACCAAGCAGGGAAGAUAAACAACCCAGACAUGCGAGUGCAGAUCCUCAAAGAUUACGUCAGGCAGCACUUCCCUGCCACUCCUCUGCUCGAUUAUGCACUGGAAGUAGAGAAGAUUACCACCUCGAAGAAGCCAAAUCUUAUCCUGAAUGUAGAUGGUCUCAUCGGAGUCGCAUUUGUAGACAUGCUUAGAAACUGUGGGUCCUUUACUCGGGAGGAAGCUGAUGAAUAUAUUGACAUUGGAGCCCUCAAUGGCAUCUUUGUGCUGGGAAGGAGUAUGGGCUUCAUUGGACACUAUCUUGAUCAGAAGAGGCUGAAGCAGGGGCUGUAUCGUCAUCCGUGGGAUGAUAUUUCAUAUGUUCUUCCGGAACACAUGAGCAUGUAACAGAGCCAGGAACCCUACUGCAGUAAACUGAAGACAAGAACUCCUCCCC